RNAcentral lists this non-coding RNA (30 nucleotides) under Mus musculus (house mouse). Lineage: Eukaryota; Metazoa; Chordata; Mammalia; Rodentia; Muridae. The record is from RNAcentral.
UGUGACAUCCCAUAGCUAAAGGCAAGAAGU